RNAcentral lists this ribosomal RNA (492 nucleotides) under uncultured bacterium. Its description in RNAcentral is "partial 16S ribosomal RNA". It matches the Rfam family "Bacterial small subunit ribosomal RNA", at positions 29 to 507 of the family's 1533-position model. The record is from RNAcentral.
AGUGAACGCUGGCGGUAGGCCUAACACAUGCAAGUCGAACGGCAGCACAGUAAGAGCUUGCUCUUACGGGUGGCGAGUGGCGGACGGGUGAGGAAUACAUCGGAAUCUACUUUUUCGUGGGGGAUAACGUAGGGAAACUUACGCUAAUACCGCAUACGACCUACGGGAGGAAGCAGGGGAUAUUCGGACCUUGCGCGAUUGAAUGAGCCGAUGUCGGAUUAGCUAGUUGGCGGGGUAAAGGCCCACCAAGGCGACGAUCCGUAGCUGGUCUGAGAGGAUGAUCAGCCACACUGGAACUGAGACACGGUCCAGACUCCUACGGGAGGCAGCAGUGGGGAAUAUUGGACAAUGGGCGCAAGCCUGAUCCAGCCAUACCGCGUGGGUGAAGAAGGCCUUCGGGUUGUAAAGCCCUUUUGUUGGGAAAGAAAAGCAGCAGGUUAAUACCCCGCUGUUCUGACGGUACCCAAAGAAUAAGCACCGGCUAACUUCGUG